GAAACAUCUGCGCUGCUUCAUUUGAUUGGAGAUGUAGUGGGAUUUGCAAGUCUGUUGAGAGGAUCAUGGAAGUUCACAAGCGCUGUGGUGAAGAUGAGAAUGCUUUGUGGAGUGCAAGGUUCUGAUAGAUAUCAACAACUGUUCUUCCAAACUCAGGAAGGAUGAGUUGAGAAAGUUGGCACAUAACUGUACUUCUGUCAUCUAUGCCUACAUUGGGAGAGAGAGUGUAUGUGAUACUAAAUUAUAGAAUCAUAUAGAGAGGAAAAAAAGAAGAAGAAGAAGAAAAAGAAGAAGAA
Molecule: unclassified non-coding RNA, 296 nt
Filed under: Hevea brasiliensis (rubber tree)
Lineage: Eukaryota; Viridiplantae; Streptophyta; Magnoliopsida; Malpighiales; Euphorbiaceae
Source: RNAcentral